RNAcentral lists this ribosomal RNA (1508 nucleotides) under uncultured bacterium. RNAcentral's name for it is "bacterial SSU rRNA". It matches the Rfam family "Bacterial small subunit ribosomal RNA". The record is from RNAcentral.
AGAGUUUGAUCCUGGCUCAGGACGAACGCUGGCGGCGUGCUUAACACAUGCAAGUCGAACGGGAACCUUUAUUUCGGUAAAGGUGAGAGUGGCAAACGGGUGAGUAACACGUAGGCAACCUGCCGACAGGAUGGGGACAACAUUCCGAAAGGAAUGCUAAUACCGAAUGGAGUCCGGGGAUGGCAUCAUCCACGGAUAAAAGAUGGCCUCUGAAUAUGCUAUCGCCUGUCGAUGGGCCUGCGUCUGAUUAGCCAGUUGGCGGGGUAACGGCCCACCAAAGCGACGAUCAGUAGCCGGUCUGAGAGGAUGAACGGCCACAUUGGGACUGAGACACGGCCCAGACUCCUACGGGAGGCAGCAGUGGGGAAUCUUCCACAAUGGGCGAAAGCCUGAUGGAGCAACGCCGCGUGAGUGAAGAAGGUCUUCGGAUCGUAAAGCUCUGUUGCACGGGACGAAAACCGAGCUUGAGAAUAUUGAGUUUGGGUGACGGUACCGAGCGAGGAAGCCACGGCUAACUACGUGCCAGCAGCCGCGGUAAUACGUAGGUGGCGAGCGUUGUCCGGAAUUAUUGGGCGUAAAGGGAGCGCAGGCGGACAUAUAAGUCCAUCUUAAAAGUGCGGGGCUCAACCCCGUGAGGGGAUGGAAACUGUAUGCCUUGAGUGCAGGAGAGGAAAGCGGAAUUCCCAGUGUAGCGGUGAAAUGCGUAGAUAUUGGGAGGAACACCAGUGGCGAAGGCGGCUUUCUGGACUGUAACUGACGCUGAGGCUCGAAAGCCAGGGGAGCGAACGGGAUUAGAUACCCCGGUAGUCCUGGCCGUAAACGAUGAAUGCUAGGUGUAGGAGGUAUCGACCCCUCCUGUGCCGGAGUUAACGCAAUAAGUACCCCGCCUGGGGAGUACGACCGCAAGGUUGAAACUCAAAGGAAUUGACGGGGGCCCGCACAAGCGGUGGAGUAUGUGGUUUAAUUCGACGCAACGCGAAGAACCUUACCAGGUCUUGACAUUGAUGGACAGAACCAGAGAUGGUUCCUCUUCUUCGGAAGCCAGAAAACAGGUGGUGCACGGUUGUCGUCAGCUCGUGUCGUGAGAUGUUGGGUUAAGUCCCGCAACGAGCGCAACCCUUGUCCCGUGUUGCCAGCACGUUGUGGUGGGGACUCGCGGGAGACUGCCGGGGUCAACUCGGAGGAAGGUGGGGAUGACGUCAAAUCAUCAUGCCCCUUAUGUCUUGGGCUUCACGCAUGCUACAAUGGCCGGUACAGAGGGCUGCGAUACCGUGAGGUGGAGCGAAUCCCUUAAAGCCGGUCUCAGUUCGGAUCGGUGUCUGCAACCCGACCCCACGAAGCUGGAUUCGCUAGUAAUCGCGCAUCAGCCAUGGCGCGGUGAAUACGUUCCCGGGCCUUGUACACACCGCCCGUCAAGCCAUGAAAGCCGGGGGUGCCUGAAGUCCGUGACCGCAAGGAUCGGCCUAGGGCAAAACUGGUGAUUGGGGCUAAGUCGUAACAAGGUAACC